UGAAGAGUUUGAUCAUGGCUCAGAUUCAACGCUGGCGGCAGGCCUACCACAUGCAAGUCGAACUGUAACACGAAACAGCUUGCUGUUUCGCUGACGAGUGGCGGACGGGUGAGUAAUGUCUGAGAACCUGCCUGAUGGACGGGGAUAACUACUUGAAACGGUAGCUAAUACCGCAUAACGUCGCAAGACCAAAGAGGGGGACCUUCGGGCCUCUUGCCAUCGGAUGUGCCCAGAUGGGAUUAGCUAGUAGGUGGGGUAACGGCUCACCUAGGCGACGAUCCCUAGCUGGUCUGAGAGGAUGACCAGCCACACUGGAACUGAGACACGGUCCAGACUCCUACGGGAGGCAGCAGUGGGGAAUAUUGCACAAUGGGCGCAAGCCUGAUGCAGCCAUGCCGCGUGUAUGAAGAAGGCCUUCGGGUUGUAAAGUACUUUCAGCGGGGAGGAAGGGAGUAAAGUUAAUACCUUUGCUCAUUGACGUUACCCGCAGAAGAAGCACCGGCUAACUCCGUGCCAGCAGCCGCGGUAAUACGGAGGGUGCAAGCGUUAAUCGGAAUUACUGGGCGUAAAGCGCACGCAGGCGGUUUGUUAAGUCAGAUGUGAAAUCCCCGGGCUCAACCUGGGAACUGCAUCUGAUACUGGCAAGCUUGAGUCUCGUAGAGGGGGGUAGAAUUCCAGGUGUAGCGGUGAAAUGCGUAGAGAUCUGGAGGAAUACCGGUGGCGAAGGCGGCCCCCUGGACGAAGACUGACGCUCAGGUGCGAAAGCGUGGGGAGCAAACAGGAUUAGAUACCCUGGUAGUCCACGCCGUAAACGAUGUCGACUUGGAGGUUGUGCCCUUGAGGCGUGGCUUCCGGAGCUAACGCGUUAAGUCGACCGCCUGGGGAGUACGGCCGCAAGGUUAAAACUCAAAUGAAUUGACGGGGGCCCGCACAAGCGGUGGAGCAUGUGGUUUAAUUCGAUGCAACGCGAAGAACCUUACCUGGUCUUGACAUCCACAGAACUUUCCAGAGAUGGAUUGGUGCCUUCGGGAACUGUGAGACAGGUGCUGCAUGGCUGUCGUCAGCUCGUGUUGUGAAAUGUUGGGUUAAGUCCCGCAACGAGCGCAACCCUUAUCCUUUGUUGCCAGCGGUCCGGCCGGGAACUCAAAGGAGACUGCCAGUGAUAAACUGGAGGAAGGUGGGGAUGACGUCAAGUCAUCAUGGCCCUUACGACCAGGGCUACACACGUGCUACAAUGGCGCAUACAAAGAGAAGCGACCUCGCGAGAGCAAGCGGACCUCAUAAAGUGCGUCGUAGUCCGGAUUGGAGUCUGCAACUCGACUCCAUGAAGUCGGAAUCGCUAGUAAUCGUGGAUCAGAAUGCCACGGUGAAUACGUUCCCGGGCCUUGUACACACCGCCCGUCACACCAUGGGAGUGGGUUGCAAAAGAAGUAGGUAGCUUAACCUUCGGGAGGGCGCUUACCACUUUGUGAUUCAUGACUGGGGUGAAGUCGUAACAAGGUAACCGUAGGGGAACCUGCGGUUGGAUCACCUCCUUA
Molecule: ribosomal RNA, 1538 nt
Filed under: Escherichia coli
Lineage: Bacteria; Pseudomonadati; Pseudomonadota; Gammaproteobacteria; Enterobacterales; Enterobacteriaceae
Description: bacterial SSU rRNA
Rfam family: Bacterial small subunit ribosomal RNA
Source: RNAcentral